AUUGAACGCUGGCGGCAGGCCUAACACAUGCAAGUCGAGCGGAUGAAGGGAGCUUGCUCCUGGAUUCAGCGGCGGACGGGUGAGUAAUGCCUAGGAAUCUGCCUGGUAGUGGGGGAUAACGUCCGGAAACGGGCGCUAAUACCGCAUACGUCCUGAGGGAGAAAGUGGGGGAUCUUCGGACCUCACGCUAUCAGAUGAGCCUAGGUCGGAUUAGCUAGUUGGUGGGGUAAAGGCCUACCAAGGCGACGAUCCGUAACUGGUCUGAGAGGAUGAUCAGUCACACUGGAACUGAGACACGGUCCAGACUCCUACGGGAGGCAGCAGUGGGGAAUAUUGGACAAUGGGCGAAAGCCUGAUACAGCCAUGCCGCGUGUGUGAAGAAGGUCUUCGGAUUGUAAAGCACUUUAAGUUGGGAGGAAGGGCAGUAAGUUAAUACCUUGCUGUUUUGAUGUUACCAACAGAAUAAGCACCGGCUAACUUCGUG
Molecule: ribosomal RNA, 484 nt
Filed under: uncultured bacterium
Lineage: Bacteria
Description: partial 16S ribosomal RNA
Rfam family: Bacterial small subunit ribosomal RNA
Source: RNAcentral